This 362-nucleotide ribosomal RNA is filed under the name uncultured bacterium. RNAcentral describes it as "bacterial SSU rRNA". It matches the Rfam family "Bacterial small subunit ribosomal RNA", at positions 542 to 904 of the family's 1533-position model. The record is from RNAcentral.
UUAUCGGAAUUACUGGGCGUAAAGCGUGCGCAGGCGGUUCUGUAAGAUAGAUGUGAAAUCCCCGGGCUCAACCUGGGAAUUGCAUAUAUGACUGCAGGACUUGAGUUUGUCAGAGGAGGGUGGAAUUCCACGUGUAGCAGUGAAAUGCGUAGAUAUCUGGAAGAACACCGAUGGCGAAGGCAGCCCUCUGGGACAUGACUGACGCUCAUGCACGAAAGCGUGGGGAGCAAACAGGAUUAGAUACCCUGGUAGUCCACGCCCUAAACGAUGUCUACUAGUUGUUGGGGACGAUAGUCCUUGGUAACGCAGCUAACGCGUGAAGUAGACCGCCUGGGGAGUACGGUCGCAAGAUUAAAACUCAA